Molecule: unclassified non-coding RNA, 247 nt
Filed under: Ascomycota sp.
Lineage: Eukaryota; Fungi; Ascomycota
Description: partial contains 5.8S ribosomal RNA, internal transcribed spacer 2, and large subunit ribosomal RNA
Source: RNAcentral
CGCACAUUGCGCCCAUUAGUAUUCUAGUGGGCAUGCCUGUUCGAGCGUCAUUUCAACCCUUAAGCUUAGCUUAGUAUUGGGAAUCUGCUUAACCGCAGCUCCUUAAAUCUAGUUGGCAGAGCACAGCUGUACUCUGAGCGUAGUAAUUUAUUAUCUCGCUUUCUGAAGACAGCAGUACGAUCGCCAUAAACCUAUUUAUUUUUUAAUGGUUGACCUCGGAUCAGGUAGGAAUACCCGCUGAACUUAA